UCCCUUGUGGCUCAGCUGGUAAAGAAUCUGCUUGCAAUGCGGGAGACCUGGGUUCGAUCCCUGGUUUGGGAA
RNAcentral lists this transfer RNA (72 nucleotides) under Ovis aries (sheep). It matches the Rfam family "tRNA". Rfam says of the family: Transfer RNA (tRNA) molecules are approximately 80 nucleotides in length. Their secondary structure includes four short double-helical elements and three loops (D, anti-codon, and T loops). The record is from Rfam by way of RNAcentral. Lineage: Eukaryota; Metazoa; Chordata; Mammalia; Artiodactyla; Bovidae.